Non-coding RNA from Fusarium torreyae, 105 nucleotides. NCBI's taxonomy places the organism in Eukaryota, Fungi, Ascomycota, Sordariomycetes, Hypocreales, Nectriaceae. The record is from the annotation of a GenBank genome assembly.
GUCUUCGUGGCUCAGUUGGUUAGAGCGUUGGUCUCAUAUUAUCAUAUGAUCUGAUUAAACAUCAGAGUUAUCCAAAGGUCGUGAGUUCGAGCCUCACCGAGGACA